This 695-nucleotide ribosomal RNA is filed under the name uncultured bacterium. RNAcentral describes it as "bacterial SSU rRNA". It matches the Rfam family "Bacterial small subunit ribosomal RNA", at positions 44 to 715 of the family's 1533-position model. The record is from RNAcentral.
AUGCUUAACACAUGCAAGUCGAACGGUAACAGAUAAGAUGAUCUCUUCGGAGUGAAUCUUUGCUGACGAGUGGCGGACGGGUGAGUAAUGCUUGGGAAUCUGCCCAAUAGUGGGGGAAAACUCGGGGAAACCCGGGCUAAUACCGCAUAAUCUCUACGGAGGAAAGAGGGCCUCUACAUGUAAGCUCUCGCUAAUGGAUGAGCCCAAGUCAGAUUAGCUUGUUGGUAAGGUAAUGGCUUACCAAGGCUACGAUCUGUAGCUGGUCUGAGAGGACGACCAGCCACACUGGGACUGAGACACGGCCCAGACUCCUACGGGAGGCAGCAGUGGGGAAUAUUGCACAAUGGGCGCAAGCCUGAUGCAGCAAUGCCGCGUGUGUGAAGAAGGCUCUAGGGUUGUAAAGCACUUUCAAUAGAGAAGAAAAGCUUGAAAUUAAUACUUUCAAGCCUUGACGUAACCUAUACAAGAAGCACCGGCUAAUUCCGUGCCAGCAGCCGCGGUAAUACGGGAGGUGCGAGCGUUAAUCGGAAUUACUGGGCGUAAAGCGAGCGUAGGCUGUUAAUUAAGUCGAAUGUGAAAUCCCCGGGCUCAACCUGGGAACUGCAUUCGAAACUAUUUAACUAGAGUAUGGGAGAGGAAAGUAGAAUUUCCGGUGUAGCGGUGAAAUGCGUAGAUAUCGGAAGGAACACCAGUGG